Ostrea edulis (European flat oyster) is the source of this 1452-nucleotide RNA transcript. RefSeq lists it as uncharacterized. The transcript has 2 exons. The record is from RefSeq and is a predicted model, not a curated record. NCBI's taxonomy places the organism in Eukaryota, Metazoa, Mollusca, Bivalvia, Ostreida, Ostreidae.
UCAAAGCAAUGCGGUCAGAUUUUGACCUUGAACUUGGUAAACAGCAAAGCCAGAUCGACAGUUUGUCACGGUCAGUUGAGUCUCUUAUUCAUCGAGUGAAAGAGGUAGAGAAAGUAGGACACAGUUACGCAACUCAACCUGGAUCAGCUGUUCACCAUUCGAGCACCGUCAAGGAUUCAGAGGUAACCAUAAUAGCUAGUAAUAUACCUCAGUCAGACGAUGAGGACAUUCUACAAGUUGCAUAGGAUCUUGUUGACUGUCUGAGUGAUUCGAUUAGUGUAGUCGCGGCUGCUAGGCUCAGGAGUCGGAUUCAGGGGAAACCAGGGUUAGUGAAAAUCAGUUUCGCAACUGUCGAGGACAAAGUAGAAAUACUACGGAAGAAACGCGACUUGAAGGGCAGUCAAGCGUACAAAUCUGUUUUCUUAAGGUCCUCUAAAUCCCACACCGAGAGGCUCAUAGAACUUAACGCGAAAACACUACUAACUCAAAUACCGAAUGGAGAACAAUUUCGUAUCACUUCGAAUGGACGGAUAGUAAAGAAAGAUUCUGACCGUCAACACAGCAAUUUCUCCACGGACAGCAACAACCGCGAUCAGGAUCAUCAAUAGCAACCUCCCCGGCCCAUAGACACUAUAAAACUAGGUCACAUUAAUGUCUGUGGAUGGACCGACGAAAAUGCAGAACUUAGAAGCCAAAUUAUCAAUGUCAUGAAUUGUGACAUCAUUUCAAUAAGUGAAACACACUUAUAUAAAGAAAAAGAAAUACAUAUUAAAGGGUACAAGUGGAUAGGAUUCAAUAGACAACAAAUUCACGUAAAUGCACCUAAAGCAUCAGGGGGAGUUGGAAUUCUUGUAAAAAUCUGGUUAACUGAACUUUUUAGUAUUUCUGUGAUCGACAAAUGUUAUGAUGGCAUUUUAGGAAUUAAGUUUACUAAACACAACUCUGAUUUUGAAUUCAUUGUAUUUACUUGUUACCUCCCACCAGAAAAUUCAAACAGAGGACGGGAUGCUCAGGGUUUUUUUGCACAUCUGUUGUCCCAGAUUUAUUUGCACAAUGAAAAUAAUGGUAUUUUUUUAUUGGGUGACAUGAAUUGUAGAAUAGGCAACCUACAAGAGGUAAUACAAGAUGUUGAUGAAAUUACCACUCGUAAACCUAUAGACAACACUAUAAACCAGCAUGGUCAUGAAUUUAUUGAGUUUCUCAAUGAAACAAACUUUUGUGUUCUGAAUGGCAGAUUUCCAGAUGACAAUUUUACGUGUAUUUCACGAAAAGAUGAACAAAAUGGUUUUAGAAGAGGGAGAUCCUGUGAAGAUCACGUAUUUACUUUGAACAGUCUAAUUCAGAAUAAUAAAAAUCUGUAUGUUGCAUUUAUUGAUCUAAAGAAGUGUUUUGAUUUUGUAGAUAGAGACAUGAUGCUGUAUAAACUUCUGUUGAAUGAUAUAAAUGGUAAAA